RNAcentral lists this ribosomal RNA (484 nucleotides) under uncultured bacterium. RNAcentral's name for it is "partial 16S ribosomal RNA". It matches the Rfam family "Bacterial small subunit ribosomal RNA", at positions 30 to 507 of the family's 1533-position model. The record is from RNAcentral.
AUUGAACGCUGGCGGCAGGCCUAACACAUGCGAGUCGAGCGGAUGAAGGGAGCUUGCUCCUGGAUUCAGCGGCGGACGGGUGAGCAAUGCCUAGGAAUCUGCCUGGUAGUGGGGGAUAACGUCCGGAAACGGGCGCUAAUACCGCAUACGUCCUGAGGGAGAAAGUGGGGGAUCUUCGGACCUCACGCUAUCAGAUGAGCCUAGGUCGGAUUAGCUAGUUGGUGGGGUAAAGGCCUACCAAGGCGACGAUCCGUAACUGGUCUGAGAGGAUGAUCAGUCACACUGGAACUGAGACACGGUCCAGACUCCUACGGGAGGCAGCAGUGGGGAAUAUUGGACAAUGGGCGAAAGCCUGAUCCAGCCAUGCCGCGUGUGUGAAGAAGGUCUUCGGAUUGUAAAGCACUUUAAGUUGGGAGGAAGGGCAGUAAGUUAAUACCUUGCUGUUUUGACGUUACCAACAGAAUAAGCACCGGCUAACUUCGUG